This 77-nucleotide transfer RNA is filed under the name Candidatus Hodgkinia cicadicola. RNAcentral describes it as "tRNA-Asn". Lineage: Bacteria; Pseudomonadati; Pseudomonadota; Alphaproteobacteria; Hyphomicrobiales. The record is from RNAcentral.
GCGGCUCAGUAGACCAGUGGGUAUGGCACCUGGCUAUUAAUCUAGAGGUCCCGGGUUCGAUUCCCGGGCCCGCACCA